This 311-nucleotide long non-coding RNA is filed under the name Vigna radiata. RNAcentral describes it as "long non-coding RNA (VRAD_LNC010058)". Lineage: Eukaryota; Viridiplantae; Streptophyta; Magnoliopsida; Fabales; Fabaceae. The record is from RNAcentral.
CUCCUACGCGAAACCUAGACGAUCUCGUCUUCCCUCCACCCAUUGUCACCGGAGUGUCGCUUGUACGCGAAAUCUAGAUGGUCUCAUUGUUGAUUAGGAUGACAGAUCUUAAGGAUGCACGUUCUUUCCAACAGUUCUACCGUUUUGAAGUAUCUUGAAGGCCAAAACAACCAUUAACAUUGGUUUUGAAGUUUUCCACCCUUAGUUUAUCUGCACCCACUUCGGAAGCAUUGUUAUAACUGAAAACCAUCAUUGGAGACAAAAAAAGACAGUUGGUAAGUUUUCAUUGUUCAUUUUGGUUUUCCUUUAUG